RNAcentral lists this ribosomal RNA (256 nucleotides) under uncultured prokaryote. RNAcentral describes it as "partial 16S ribosomal RNA". It matches the Rfam family "Bacterial small subunit ribosomal RNA", at positions 522 to 777 of the family's 1533-position model. The record is from RNAcentral.
AAUACAGAGGUCCCAAGCGUUGUUCGGAUUUACUGGGCGUAAAGGGUGCGUAGGUGGCGGGGUAAGUCGGAUGUGAAAUCUCCAGGCUCAACCUGGAAAUGGCAUUGGAAACUACCUUGCUGGAGAGUUGGAGGGGGGACUGGAAUACUUGGUGUAGCAGUGAAAUGCGUAGAUAUCAAGUGGAACACCAGUGGCGAAGGCGAGUCCCUGGACAACUUCUGACGCUGAGGCACGAAAGCUAGGGGAGCAAACAGGA